Molecule: ribosomal RNA, 433 nt
Filed under: uncultured bacterium
Lineage: Bacteria
Description: partial 16S ribosomal RNA
Rfam family: Bacterial small subunit ribosomal RNA
Source: RNAcentral
AACGAACGCUGGCGGCAUGCCUAACACAUGCGAGUCGAACGAGACCUUCGGGUCUAGUGGCGCACGGGUGCGUAACGCGUGGGAACCUGCCCUUAGGUUCGGAAUACCUCCCCGAAAGGGGUGCUAAUACCGGAUAAUGUCUUCGGACCAAAGAUUUAUCGCCUUUGGAUGGGCCCGCGUUGGAUUAGCUAGUUGGUAGGGUAAAAGCCUACCAAGGCGACGAUGCAUAGCUGGUGUGAGAGGAUGAUCAGCAACACUGGGACUGAGACACGGCCCAGACUCCUACGGGAGGCAGCAGGGGGGAAUAUUGGACAAUGGGCGAAAGACUGAGCCAGCAAUGCCGCGUGAGUGAUGAAGGCCUUAGGGUUGUAAAGCUCUUUUACACGGGAUGAUAAUGACAGUACCGGGAGAAUAAGCGCCGGCUAACUCCGUG